CACAAUCUCCAUAUCACAAUCAGAAACCCAACUCCUAUUCCUCAAUUUCUCUCUCGAUUUUGUUCAUCAAAUAGAAGUUACCGUACUUGUGGUUUUACUUCAACUUAUACUAGAAGUAUUUCAGCUUUUUCAUGAUCUUUUACUUCUGUUAAGAUGAGUAUGGGUAUAUCAAGGUCUCAAAAAUGGUGUAGAAGAGGUUGGGAAAGAAAAAGAUUAAAGGGUGAUGUAAGAAAAAAAA
RNAcentral lists this long non-coding RNA (238 nucleotides) under Vigna radiata. RNAcentral describes it as "long non-coding RNA (VRAD_LNC002529)". Lineage: Eukaryota; Viridiplantae; Streptophyta; Magnoliopsida; Fabales; Fabaceae. The record is from RNAcentral.